UACGUAGGGGGCAAGCGUUGUCCGGAAUCAUUGGGCGUAAAGCGCGUGUAGGCGGCCAGGUAAGUCCGUUCUGAAAGCCCGGGGCUCAACCCCGGGAGGCGGAUGGAUACUGCUUGGCUCGAGUCCGGAAGAGGCGAGUGGAAUUCCCGGUGUAGCGGUGAAAUGCGCAGAUAUCGGGAGGAACACCAAUGGCGAAGGCAGCUCGCUGGGACGGUACUGACGCUGAGGAGCGAAAGCAUGGGUAGCGAACAGG
This 253-nucleotide ribosomal RNA is filed under the name uncultured bacterium. RNAcentral's name for it is "partial 16S ribosomal RNA". It matches the Rfam family "Bacterial small subunit ribosomal RNA", at positions 524 to 776 of the family's 1533-position model. The record is from RNAcentral.